AACAUCGCGCACCUGCGGGAACCUGCGGAAGGAUCAUUACAGAGUUGCAAAACUCCCUAAACCAUUGUGAACGUUACCUAAACCGUUGCUUCGGCGGGCGGCCCGGGUCCUUCCCGGCGCCCAUCGGCCCUCGCGGGCGCCCGCCGGAGGUAAACCAAACUAUUGCAUUGUAUGGCCUCUCUGAGUCUUCUGUACUGAAUAAGUCAAAACUUUCAACAACGGAUCUCAGAUCGGAAGAGC
RNAcentral lists this unclassified non-coding RNA (240 nucleotides) under soil metagenome. Its description in RNAcentral is "partial contains 5.8S ribosomal RNA, internal transcribed spacer 2, and large subunit ribosomal RNA". The record is from RNAcentral.